UNUGACUUGAGUGCAGAAGGGGAGAGUGGAAUUCCAUGUGUAGCGGUGAAAUGCGUAGAUAUAUGGAGGAACACCNGGGGCGAAAGCGGCUCUCUGGUCUGUCACUGACGCUGAGGCUCGAAAGCGUGGGUAGCGAACAGGAUUAGAUACCCUGGUAGUNCACGCCGUAAACGAUGAGUGCUAGGUGUUAGGCCCUUUCCGGGGCUUAGUGCCGGAGCUAACGCAAUAAGCACUCCGCCUGGGGAGUACGACCGCAAGGUUGAAACUCAAAGGAAUUGACGGGGGCCCGCACAAGCGGUGGAGCAUGUGGUUUAAUUCGAAGCAACGCGAAGAACCUUACCAGGUCUUGACAUCCCGAUGCUAUUCUUAGAGAUAGGAAGUUACUUCGGUACAUCGGAGACAGGUGGUGCAUGGUUGUCGUCAGCUCGUGUCGUGAGAUGUUGGGUUAAGUCCCGCAACGAGCGCAACCCUUAUUGUUAGUUGCCAUCAUUAAGUUGGGCACUCUAGCGAGACUGCCGGUAAUAAACCGGAGGAAGGUGGGGAUGACGUCAAAUCAUCAUGCCCCUUAUGACCUGGGCUACACACGUGCUACAAUGGUCGGUACAACGAGUUGCGAGCCGGUGACGGCAAGCUAAUCUCUGAAAGCCGAUCUCAGUUCGGAUUGGAGGCUGCAACUCGCCUCCAUGAAGUCGGAAUCGCUAGUAAUCGCGGAUCAGCACGCCGCGGUGAAUACGUUCCCGGGCCUUGUACACACCGCCCGUCACACCACGAGAGUUUGUAACACCCGAAGUCGGUGAGGUAACCUUUUAGGGGCCAGCC
RNAcentral lists this ribosomal RNA (819 nucleotides) under uncultured bacterium. RNAcentral's name for it is "bacterial SSU rRNA". It matches the Rfam family "Bacterial small subunit ribosomal RNA", at positions 636 to 1454 of the family's 1533-position model. The record is from RNAcentral.